This 3039-nucleotide long non-coding RNA is filed under the name Homarus americanus (American lobster). Its description in RNAcentral is "uncharacterized LOC121867995". Lineage: Eukaryota; Metazoa; Arthropoda; Malacostraca; Decapoda; Nephropidae. The record is from RNAcentral.
ACAAACACAUCCAGGACAAACACAACCAGGACAAACACAUCCAGGACAAACACACCAGGACAAACACAUCCAGGACAAACACAUCCAGGACAAACACAUCCAGGACAAACACAACCAGGACAAACACAUCCAGGACAAACACAACCAGGACAAACACAUCCAGGACAAACACACCCAGGACAAACACAUCCAGGACAAACACAACCAGGACAAACACAUCCAGGACAAACACAACCAGGACAAACACACCCUUACCCUGGCCAACCUGUAGACACCCUGGGCGAGAGUUCAGAAUGUCUAACAGGUUGCUGCUGCGACUGUGACGAAACUUCAGAUAGCAAAGAGAGAAUUAAAAACAAAAACAAAGAAUCUGGAGACAGCGAUGAUGUUGAUGAUGAUGAUAAUGAUGAUGAUGAUGAUGACAGGCUGAGAUACCAAGGAGGACGGGAGGUGCUGCCGUACAGUGUCGGAAGUGGGCACAAUGAAAGGACGCCGAUCGUGUUGGUGGUGGGUGAUCACAACAAGGGCAACCUGAACUGGCUGAAAAAGAUCCUGCAAGAUGGAAAGAAGAAAUAAUAUUGGAACUAUUCUUGAAAUCCUCAGCGAUACUGAAGCGCCUCUCACGAGAUUCUUGAGACCAUUUUACGUGACUUUUGCCGUCCAUUUUAGGAGAGUAAUAAAGUUCUUUUAGGGGAUUUUUUUGGGGGGAGAUCUGUUAGAGAUCUUUGCCAUCCAAUUUCUGGGAUCUUUCACAUGCUCGUCAGAAUUUCGAUAUCUUCUCAGAGAGUUUUUAAUGCCAACCGAGGAACUUGUUGACUUCAGGGGGUUCUUGAAUACCUUUCAAAGGCUUCAUGCAGCUGUCCCUAAGAACUCUAAACCAUGUCUUUAUUGAUGAAUUCUGGCGGUGCUCUGAGAGCAUUUUGGUCUUCCCAAGAGGAUUUUAGAUUCACACCAUAAACAAAACACCAUCCUGUGUUCCUUUCCACUAAGCAAUCAGACGCUUCAGAAACUACGCCAGCCGUCUACCAAUAGUGGCGUUCAUUUUUUCUUUCAUGGUACGAGCAUUACAGAGUACAGUAUUUAGGUAAACUGUUUUAGUAAUUUCAAGCACUGCACCCAAGGUGCUCUUAUAAUCCAUUGAGGGAACUCUAGCCGUCCUGGAUAUCUUCUGAAGGCUUCGUUGCACAUUCUUCUGAGUUGCUGUGGGGUUCCUCUUAGUGGGCUAUAACCUUCUUUUCCCUUGAGGUCUGGUGUUCCUUUCAGGAAUGUAAACAUUACCUGAUGGACGUGUGAUAGAUGAUACCAGAAGAAAUUUGGCCUUCCUGACAAGAGCACUUAAUGAUGUACUAUACCGUAGGACUGUUGUUGAAUAACUAACAAUGGACUUGCACAGGUUCUGCUGGGAAGGUUCGACAGGACAGGUCCCGGGAAUUGUGAUGUGCUCCUGUUACAUCAUGAAUGAUAUGCUUUAUAAAAUCUUUCGUCUACAUAGUUGUGAUUGUUCGAAAGGUAUUUAGUAAAGAUACUCUGAAAGCUAUUAAGAUGAAUUCCAUAAAAAAAAAUGCUCAAUAAAAUAAUGGUGCUUUCCUGUAGCUGUCACGUUAUCCAAGCUUUCAUACAAUAUGAUAUUAAUCUUUUUUUUUUGUAUGUUAGUUCACUUGCCCAUUACCAUGAGAAAAUCUUUUGAGAGCUUGCAAACGAGUGCUGAAAGAAACCACCAAUACUGCUGUAACAUGUAAGAUCAGUAACUUUUCUCAGAAGAGGUAACUGCUCAUCCACAAGCAGUCAUGGAUCAGAGGCUCCCCCGUGUAGUAGUGGACUCUGCUCACCUAAGUCUAUAUCAGUUGUCCUCACAUUAACCUCAAUAUUUUCAGAAACUUUUUGUCAAUACUCUUUCUCUUCGGUAACCGUGAUUUGCUAUACAGUGAUAUUUGUAUUAGUGAGGUUAGCUGCCAUACAGAGGUGAGAGGUGAUCCAACAACCAGCCCUGCCAAAUACUAACCCAGAAAUUGUUGCAUUGCGGUUGACAGUGGUGUUGGUAUGGAUUGAAAGAGACGUGGUGAGAUGCAGGCGGUGGUGUAGGUGCAUAUGGGCAUUAUUUUUUUAUUUAUGUGGUUAUCGGUGGCAGUGGUGUUAUUUUGUACCUGUAAGCUGCCCUCGAAAUAUCGCCAGUAUUAAGAUUUUGAUCCUAGAACAUAGGUAUUAGUGUUAGCGUGUCCAAAUUAGUCUUACUCCAAACUCUAGAGAAGAUUCAGAAUAUAAAGAAUAUCAUGGAAUACAGUGGGCAUACCCCUGGCGAUAUUUACAGAGCAAUUCCUUAAACCCCAACGCUCAUAUAAAGACUGCGACCCAAACAUUCCCUGUGAUGUACUCGUUUUUAUAUUCUUAGGUUUUUGUUAAUAGAUUUAUUACAAUUACGUUUUUUCCUGGUUGUGACGUUACUGUUAAAGGAGCUGCGCGCGUAUCGUCUUAACAUUGUGUUUCUGACGUUUUUGGAACUCUGUUGUUCCACCUGUUCCUUGUUCAGAGCACUCUUAGAUGACGCCAGCUUCACGCCUAAUCAAGAGCUUUUCCACAUGAGAGCUACUAACAUGAUUGAGUUAAAUAGGAUUAUAUUUACAUGCUAACAUUUUAACAAAGAAUGUGCACGAUACAUUGUUAUUCUAUGAGAUUUCCAGCUACCAGUAGUGCCAUAACCAAAGCACAACUUGACCAACGAUAUAAUGCCGUGCAGAUUUGCCGUUCUGGGCCGUGAUUCUCAAGCGUGUAUCUGUUAAAAGUGUUCCUUGUAUUUCAGAUAUCUUAAGAACAACUCACUUGAACUAUGUCACAAAUUACCAGGUGAAAUGGUAUGGAGAUUGUAUUAAAACAUUUCUGUAACAAAAUGCUCUUUCUUAUCUCCAAUUACGGGGGAACAACUUACAGAUCUUUGAGAUAACGGAGCCAGGUACGAAACUUAACAGUACUGCUCGAUGUUGCUUGUCACUGGGGUGUAGAGACAGCCAGUUGUGGUAUCUGAAAUAAAAAAAAAGUGACGAA